ACAAAAUUUAGAAAGUAAUAGUGUCCGUCUAUUGAGGCUUUCGGUAUCGGGCCCCAUAGAUCCGCAUAUACGAUAUCUAAAACUUGUUUAGCAGAGUUCUCUGGACGUGAGGGGGAGGGGAGACGAUGGUGUUUUGCUAUUACACAUGAAUUACAAGGAGGAAUUAUUUUAUUCAAUAACGGUGAUACACCCAAUGAAAAAUUUUAACAACUGAUUUAGUUAACUUUUCCGAGACGGGGCCAAGGCGAUAGUGCCAGAGAGUCAUCGAGAUACUGUCCACCGUAUUUGCUUCUUUCUUCUUGCUUCUUUCUUCUUGCCGUCGAGACUGAUUUCUCCAGUCACAUACGGAAGGAGUCCGUAUCCGCGCAGGAAAGUGAGCACCUGUGCUUGCCAUACGAAGUAGUUGCUGCCGGCGAGACGUUCUGCACAUUGAUGCUUUAAUUUCUCAAUUUUCAUCUGACCUGUCGCGUUGCCGAAAAUGACGUCGCCGUGGAAAGUCAUAGUUUCCAGGGCAGAAUGGUUGCAGUUGAUUUCAGUUCUUGAAUCGGACGACGAUUGUGAGGACGAAGAUCGCGAGGACGAAGACUCGGUAGAAAUCAGCUUCGGAUUUGCAAUGCGUACGGACGUGUUGCGAAGAUGUCGAGUUACGGCAGAAAUCGAAUUUAGCCGAAAUUAAAUUCAGCAGAAAUUCAACCGACAGAAAUCAAAUUCAGAAGAAUUUAAAAGUUGCAAACCGUGUUGCGGAGGUGUCGCGGCAGAAAUCUGAAAUGAAAAUCGCUGAAACGUGCAGAAACGGCGUGCUCGCGGAUGAAAUCGACAGGAGCAGAAUCGUAGAUCGGACGAUGAUUGAACGAGACCGGAGCCGUAGAACUCGCGUGGAUGAAAUCGACGUUGCCGAACCCGGAGUUGAAACCGCAAGAAUCGCACAAAAUCCAAAUCGUAUAUCUUAUUAUCUUAUUAUAAAUUUGCUGGUUUCAUUUUAGAGGUAUAUCUUAUUAUAAAUUUGUUAUAUGUGCUGUUAUUUCAUUUUAGAUAGUAUAUUUUAUUACCAAUUUCAUCUCAUUCUAUAUCGUUGAAAUUAUUGCUGCAGAUUGUUGCGAUUUACAAUCUUGCAAUUUUUUUUUUUGCAUCUACAUUGCUGCUGUAAUUUUGCUUCGCGAUUCUGGAUUUCGCAUUUUGCGAUUGGAUUUAUCACAAUUUUGAAAUAUGCAUUCUUUGAAUUUCUUAUUUUUGCAUUCUGGUUCGGGAUUUCUGCUCGCCGUUUGGUUAGUUGUAUCAUUUUAUUUAUUUAUUUUUAUUUUCUUUUGUGUAUUUAUAUUUUAG
RNAcentral lists this long non-coding RNA (1323 nucleotides) under Zostera marina. RNAcentral describes it as "long non-coding RNA (ZMAR_LNC000173)". Lineage: Eukaryota; Viridiplantae; Streptophyta; Magnoliopsida; Alismatales; Zosteraceae. The record is from RNAcentral.